AACAGGGAUUUCUAUGAAAAUAAGCGAUAUUUAAGGGGAAAAACAGGGAUUUCUAUGAAAAUAAGCGAUAUUUAAGGGGAAAAACAGGGAUUUCUAUGAAAAUAAGCGAUAUUUAAGGGGAAAAACAGGGAUUUCUAUGAAAAUAAGUGAUAUUUUAGGGUUAAAAACAGGGAUUUCUAUGAAAAUAAGCGAUAUUUUAGGUUAAAAACAGGGAUUUCUAUGAAAAUAAGCGAUAUUUAAGGUUAAAAACAGGGAUUUCUAUGAAAAUAAGCGAUAUUUAAGGGGAAAAACAGGGAUUUCUAUGAAAAUAAGCGAUAUUUGAGGUUAAAAACAGGGAUUUCUAUGAAAAUAAGCGAUAUUUAAGGUUAAAAACAGGGAUUUCUAUGAAAAUAAGCGAUAUUUAAGGGGAAAAACAGGGAUUUCUAUGAAAAUAAGCGAUAUUUAAGGUUAAAAACAGGGAUUUCUAUGAAAAUAAGCGAUAUUUAAGGGGAAAAACAGGGAUUUCUAUGAAAAUAAGCGAUAUUUAGUUGUUAAAAACAGGGAUUUCUAUGAAAAUAAGCGAUAUUUAAGGGGAAAAACAGGGAUUUCUACGGAGAUAAGCGAUAUUUAACGUUAAAAACAGGGAUUUCUAUGAAAAUAAGCGAUAUUUAAGGUUAAAAACAGGGAUUUCUAUGAAAAUAAGCGAUAUUUUAGGUUAAAAACAGGGAUUUCUAUGAAAAUAAGCGAUAUUUAAGGUUAAAAACAGGGAUUUCUAUGAAAAUAAACGAUAUUUUAGGUUAAAAACAGGGAUUUCUAUGAAAAUAAGCGAUAUUUUAGGUUAAAAACAGGGAUUUCUAUGAAAAUAAGCGAUAUUUAAGGUUAAAAACAGGGAUUUCUAUGAAAAUAAGCGAUAUUUGAGGUUAAAAACAGGGAUUUCUAUGAAAAUAAGCGAUAUUUAAGGGUUAAAAACAGGGAUUUCUAUGAAAAUAAGCGAUAUUUAAGGUUAAAAACAGGGAUUUCUAUGAAAAUAAGCGAUAUUUAAGGUUAAAAACAGGGAUUUCUAUGAAAAUAAGCGAUAUUUGAGGUUAAAAACAGGGAUUUCUAUGAAAAUAAGCGAUAUUUUAGGGUUAAAAACAGGGAUUUCUAUGAAAAUAAGCGAUAUUUAAGGUUAAAAACAGGGAUUUCUAUGAAAAUAAGCGAUAUUUUAGGUUAAAAACAGGGAUUUCUAUGAAAAUAAGCGAUAUUUUAGGUUAAAAACAGGGAUUUCUAUGAAAAUAAGCGAUAUUUAAGGUUAAAAACAGGGAUUUCUAUGAAAAUAAGCGAUAUUUAAGGUUAAAAACAGGGAUUUCUAUGAAAAUAAGCGAUAUUUGAGGUUAAAAACAGGGAUUUCUAUGAAAAUAAGCGAUAUUUGAGGGUUAAAAACAGGGAUUUCUAUGAAAAUAAGCGAUAUUUAAGGGGAAAAACAGGGAUUUCUAUGAAAAUAAGCGAUAUUUGAGGUUAAAAACAGGGAUUUCUAUGAAAAUAAGCGAUAUUUGAGGUUAAAAACAGGGAUUUCUAUGAAAAUAAGCGAUAUUUAAGGGGAAAAACAGGGAUUUCUAUGAA
Molecule: long non-coding RNA, 1581 nt
Organism: Tympanuchus pallidicinctus (lesser prairie-chicken)
Lineage: Eukaryota; Metazoa; Chordata; Aves; Galliformes; Phasianidae
Exons: 9
Source: RefSeq, a predicted model, not a curated record